GGUUAAGCGACUAAGCGUACACGGUGGAUGCCCUGGCAGUCAGAGGCGAUGAAGGACGUGCUAAUCUGCGAUAAGCGUCGGUGAGGUGAUAUGAACCGUUAUAACCGGCGAUUUCCGAAUGGGGAAACCCAGUGUGUUUCGACACACUAUCAUUAACUGAAUCCAUAGGUUAAUGAGGCGAACCGGGGGAACUGAAACAUCUAAGUACCCCGAGGAAAAGAAAUCAACCGAGAUUCCCCCAGUAGCGGCGAGCGAACGGGGAGGAGCCCAGAGCCUGAAUCAGUGUGUGUGUUAGUGGAAGCGUCUGGAAAGGCGUGCGAUACAGGGUGACAGCCCCGUACACAAAAAUGCACAUAUUGUGAGCUCGAUGAGUAGGGCGGGACACGUGGUAUCCUGUCUGAAUAUGGGGGGACCAUCCUCCAAGGCUAAAUACUCCUGACUGACCGAUAGUGAACCAGUACCGUGAGGGAAAGGCGAAAAGAACCCCGGCGAGGGGAGUGAAAAAGAACCUGAAACCGUGUACGUACAAGCAGUGGGAGCCUCUUAAUGGGGUGACUGCGUACCUUUUGUAUAAUGGGUCAGCGACUUAUAUUCUGUAGCAAGGUUAACCGAAUAGGGGAGCCGAAGGGAAACCGAGUCUUAACUGGGCGUUAAGUUGCAGGGUAUAGACCCGAAACCCGGUGAUCUAGCCAUGGGCAGGUUGAAGGUUGGGUAACACUAACUGGAGGACCGAACCGACUAAUGUUGAAAAAUUAGCGGAUGACUUGUGGCUGGGGGUGAAAGGCCAAUCAAACCGGGAGAUAGCUGGUUCUCCCCGAAAGCUAUUUAGGUAGCGCCUCGUGAAUUCAUCUCCGGGGGUAGAGCACUGUUUCGGCAAGGGGGUCAUCCCGACUUACCAACCCGAUGCAAACUGCGAAUACCGGAGAAUGUUAUCACGGGAG
This 941-nucleotide ribosomal RNA is filed under the name Escherichia coli. Its description in RNAcentral is "partial 23S ribosomal RNA". It matches the Rfam family "Bacterial large subunit ribosomal RNA", at positions 1 to 983 of the family's 2925-position model. The record is from RNAcentral. Lineage: Bacteria; Pseudomonadati; Pseudomonadota; Gammaproteobacteria; Enterobacterales; Enterobacteriaceae.